AACGAACGCUGGCGGCAUGCCUAACACAUGCAAGUCGAACGAUCCCUUCGGGGAUAGUGGCGCACGGGUGCGUAACGCGUGGGAACCUGCCCUUAGGUUCGGAAUAACUCAGAGAAAUUUGAGCUAAUACCGGAUAAUGCCUUCGGACCAAAGAUUUAUCGCCUUUGGAUGGGCCCGCGUUGGAUUAGCUAGUUGGUGGGGUAAAGGCCUACCAAGGCGACGAUCCAUAGCUGGUCUGAGAGGAUGAUCAGCCACACUGGGACUGAGACACGGCCCAGACUCCUACGGGAGGCAGCAGUGGGGAAUAUUGGACAAUGGGCGAAAGCCUGAUCCAGCAAUGCCGCGUGAGUGAUGAAGGCCUUAGGGUUGUAAAGCUCUUUUACCCGGGAUGAUAAUGACAGUACCGGGAGAAUAAGCCCCGGCUAACUCCGUG
This 433-nucleotide ribosomal RNA is filed under the name uncultured bacterium. RNAcentral describes it as "partial 16S ribosomal RNA". It matches the Rfam family "Bacterial small subunit ribosomal RNA", at positions 29 to 507 of the family's 1533-position model. The record is from RNAcentral.